Molecule: transfer RNA, 85 nt
Filed under: Prevotella koreensis
Lineage: Bacteria; Pseudomonadati; Bacteroidota; Bacteroidia; Bacteroidales; Prevotellaceae
Description: Prevotella sp. KCOM 3155 tRNA-Leu
Rfam family: tRNA
About the family: Transfer RNA (tRNA) molecules are approximately 80 nucleotides in length. Their secondary structure includes four short double-helical elements and three loops (D, anti-codon, and T loops).
Source: RNAcentral
GCGCCUGUGGCGAAAUUGGUAUACGCGCCAGACUUAGGAUCUGGUAACUUCCGUUGUGUAGGUUCGAGUCCUAUCAGGCGCACAA